This is a non-coding RNA of Acanthosepion pharaonis, 113 nucleotides long. NCBI's taxonomy places the organism in Eukaryota, Metazoa, Mollusca, Cephalopoda, Sepiida, Sepiidae. The record is from the annotation of a GenBank genome assembly.
UAUGGCCACAUCAUAUUGAAAUGUCAGUUCCCGUACAAUCACCGAAGUUAAGCAACGUUGAGUCUGCUUAGUACCUAGAUGGGUGACCACUUGGGAAUACCAAGUGCUGUAUG